GACGAACGCUGGCGGCGUGCCUAAUACAUGCAAGUAGAACGCUGAAGAGAGGAGCUUGCUCUUCUUGGAUGAGUUGCGAACGGGUGAGUAACGCGUAGGUAACCUGCCUGGUAGCGGGGGAUAACUAUUGGAAACGAUAGCUAAUACCGCAUAAAAUGGAUUAUCGCAUGAUAAUCCAUUGAAAGGUGCAAAUGCAUCACUACCAGAUGGACCUGCGUUGUAUUAGCUAGUUGGUGGUGUAACGGCUCAUCAAGGCGAGGAUACAUAGCCGACCUGAGAGGGUGAUCGGCCACACUGGGACGGUGACACGGCCCAGACUCCUACGGGAGGCAGCAGUAGGGAAUCUUCGGCAAUGGGCGGAAGUCUGACCGAGCAACGCCGCGUGAGGGAAGAAGGUUUUCGGAUCGUAAAGCUCUGUUGUAAGGGAAGAACGAGUGUGAGAGUGGAAAGUUCACACUGUGACGGUAUCUUACCAGAAAGGGACGGCUAACUACGUG
Molecule: ribosomal RNA, 497 nt
Filed under: uncultured bacterium
Lineage: Bacteria
Description: partial 16S ribosomal RNA
Rfam family: Bacterial small subunit ribosomal RNA
Source: RNAcentral